GAACGGGUGAGUAACACGUGGGCAAUCUGCCCUUCACUCUGGGACAAGCCCUGGAAACGGGGUCUAAUACCGGAUACGAGCCUCCAAGGCAUCUUGGAGGUUGGAAAGCUCCGGCGGUGAAGGAUGAGCCCGCGGCCUAUCAGCUUGUUGGUGAGGUAAUGGCUCACCAAGGCGACGACGGGUAGCCGGCCUGAGAGGGCGACCGGCCACACUGGGACUGAGACACGGCCCAGACUCCUACGGGAGGCAGCAGUGGGGAAUAUUGCACAAUGGGCGAAAGCCUGAUGCAGCGACGCCGCGUGAGGGAUGACGGCCUUCGGGUUGUAAACCUCUUUCAGCAGGGAAGAAGCGAAAGUGACGGUACCUGCAGAAGAAGCGCCGGCUAACUACGUGCCAGCAGCCGCGGUAAUACGUAGGGCGCAAGCGUUGUCCGGAAUUAUUGGGCGUAAAGAGCUCGUAGGCGGCUUGUCACGUCGGGUGUGAAAGCCCGGGGCUUAACCCCGGGUCUGCAUUCGAUACGGGCUAGCUAGAGUGUGGUAGGGGAGAUCGGAAUUCCUGGUGUAGCGGUGAAAUGCGCAGAUAUCAGGAGGAACACCGGUGGCGAAGGCGGAUCUCUGGGCCAUUACUGACGCUGAGGAGCGAAAGCGUGGGGAGCGAACAGGAUUAGAUACCCUGGUAGUCCACGCCGUAAACGGUGGGAACUAGGUGUUGGCGACAUUCCACGUCGUCGGUGCCGCAGCUAACGCAUUAAGUUCCCCGCCUGGGGAGUACGGCCGCAAGGCUAAAACUCAAAGGAAUUGACGGGGGCCCGCACAAGCAGCGGAGCAUGUGGCUUAAUUCGACGCAACGCGAAGAACCUUACCAAGGCUUGACAUACACCGGAAAGCAUUAGAGAUAGUGCCCCCCUUGUGGUCGGUGUACAGGUGGUGCAUGGCUGUCGUCAGCUCGUGUCGUGAGAUGUUGGGUUAAGUCCCGCAACGAGCGCAACCCUUGUUCUGUGUUGCCAGCAUGCCCUUCGGGGUGAUGGGGACUCACAGGAGACCGCCGGGGUCAACUCGGAGGAAGGUGGGGACGACGUCAAGUCAUCAUGCCCCUUAUGUCUUGGGCUGCACACGUGCUACAAUGGCCGGUACUCAGGCUGGAUCACCGUGAGGUGGAGCGAAUCUCAAAAAGCCGGUCUCAGUUCGGAUUGGGGUCUGCAACUCGACCCCAUGAAGUCGGAGUUGCUAGUAAUCGCAGAUCAGCAUUGCUGCGGUGAAUACGUUCCCGGGCCUUGUACACACCGCCCGUCACGUCACGAAAGUUGGUAACACCCGAAGCCGGUGGCCCAACCCCUUGUGGGAGGGAGCUGUCGAAGGUGGGACUAGCGAUUGGGACGAAGUCGUAACAAGGUAG
This 1395-nucleotide ribosomal RNA is filed under the name Streptomyces achromogenes. RNAcentral describes it as "16S ribosomal RNA". It matches the Rfam family "Bacterial small subunit ribosomal RNA". Lineage: Bacteria; Bacillati; Actinomycetota; Actinomycetes; Kitasatosporales; Streptomycetaceae. RNAcentral also lists the same sequence under 1 other name. The record is from RNAcentral.